CGGCAAUGGAGGAAACUCUGACCGAGCAACGCCGCGUGAAUGACGAAGUACUUCGGUAUGUAAAGUUCUUUUAUCAAGGAAGAAAAGCAAAUGGCGAACCAUUUGUUUGCCGGUACUUGAUGAAUAAGCCCCGGCUAAUUAUGUGCCAGCAGCCGCGGUAAGACAUAAGGGGCAAGUGUUAUCCGGAAUUAUUGGGCGUAAAGGGUGCGUAGGCGGUCUAGUAAGUCAGUGGUGUAAUGGCAACGCUUAACGUUGUCCGGCUAUUGAAACUGCUAAACUUGAGUUAGAUAGAGGCGAGUGGAAUUCCAUGUGUAGCGGUAAAAUGCGUAAAUAUAUGGAGGAACACCAGAGGCGUAGGCGGCUCGCUGGGUCUUAACUGACGCUGAGGCACGAAAGCGUGGGGAGCAAACAGGAUUAGAUACCCUGGUAGUCCACGCCGUAAACGAUGAGUACUAAGUGUCGGGUUAAACCGGUACUGAAGUUAACACAUUAAGUACUCCGCCUGAGUAGUACGUACGCAAGUAUGAAACUUAAAGGAAUUGACGGGACUCCGCACAAGCGGUGGAUCAUGUUGUUUAAUUCGAAGAUACCCGAAAAACCUUACCAGGUCUUGACAUGUUUGUGCAAAAUGAUAGUAAUAUCGUGGAGGUUACCAGAAACACAGGUGGUGCAUGGUUGUCGUCAGCUCGUGUCGUGAGAUGUUAGGUUAAGUCCUAAAACGAGCGAAACCCUUAUCGUUAGUUGCCAGCACGUUAUGGUGGGGACUUUAACGAGACUGCCAAUGAUAAAUUGGAGGAAGGUGAGGAUCACGUCAAAUCAGCAUGCCCCUUAUGACCUGGGCUACAAACGUGAUACAAUGGCUGUUACAAAGGGUAGCUGAA
RNAcentral lists this ribosomal RNA (881 nucleotides) under 'Solanum lycopersicum' phytoplasma (Saudi Arabia). RNAcentral describes it as "bacterial SSU rRNA". It matches the Rfam family "Bacterial small subunit ribosomal RNA", at positions 366 to 1254 of the family's 1533-position model. Lineage: Bacteria; Bacillati; Mycoplasmatota; Mollicutes; Acholeplasmatales; Acholeplasmataceae. The record is from RNAcentral.